AAAGAAAAAAUAGAGAGUUGAGAAGGAGAGUCAACAUGGAUAAUGAAUUCUAGGAUUAUCUGAGGGAGAUUCAAACAGUGCUUAUGUUUUGGAGGUGUUAAAUCUUUAUUAAUAGGGUAAGCAACCGAAGCAUGGCUGGUUGACUGGUGCAAGGAAAAUUGUUUCUGAGGAAUCAUUACCUUUGUAAAUGGGUCUGUAAAUAGCAGAGUUGUAAUGUAUAUUAUUUAUAGAAGCAAGCAAAUAAUUGUUGUGGAUGGAAAAAAAGAAAAAGGAAAUUGAGUUUGAAGUAAGACAUUAUGUUUUUAAUUAUGAUAUUUGAAGGGCCAUGAACUUGCAUCCUGUGAUACUAGAAUCAAACAUAUCUAUGAUUGACUUCCAAUGUUUUCAAGAAUCAAUUCAUGUGAUCCAUUUUGAUGAUAAGGAUAAACAUGUUUUAUGCUGAAGUUUGGUGAGAAUCACUAUAUGUGGCAUCCUUUGGGUGGGAUAUCCACUUACGAAUGAGGUGCCCUUCUCAUGGGUUCAAUUGAGAAGUCUUUAUAGUGCCUAUAACCAAGAUAUGCAUCAUCACUUACUCUUUUGUGCCUGUUGGUUGGCUAAUUGGCAUCUCUCUUGAGAAGGACAAGGAAGGGAUUGCUUAUUGUUGUUAUGUCACAUAGUAUUGCAGUGACUAGAGAGAAAGGGAAGAUAGAAGGAAUGGUGGAAAGGAGGAAGACAAGAAUUGUGGCAUGGUUCAUGCCCGUAAUGAUGACACACCUUAUUUUGUUCACAUUCUUUUUCUGCAUGUACACUUUGUAUCUUAGUGUCAGGUUGUUUUUCCUACUGUGUUUAAACGUUCUUCAGUCAUUCUUUUGUGCGUUACAUGUAGUUUUACGUCUAUAUGUGGUUUAGGUGACUUUUAAAUACAAGAGCAGGCAUUGCUUCCAAACAGGUAGGUUUCACUUUUCAUAAAUCAAAACAUCAUUGCACUCCAAGGAAUUCUAAUAAUCCUUGAAUCGAUUGAAAGUUAUAAUUGAAAAUUCUACUAAUCCUUCUGCAUUCCAUUUUGUCUAGUUAGAUGUAAUCGGCUAGGAUUUGUGGAUCUCCCGAAACGCUUUGUACCGACCUUUUAGGGUUGUGCCAGCAUUCUAGUUUGUUGUUAAUUUUAGCAUUAUUCUGUAUGCUAUCAUAAUUCUGGUUUUUGUUUUACAAUAUGCUGAUCCUUCUAAGGUAAAUUAUGAUCUUUCUUUCUUUUGAUGUUCUGUUUGGUUUUUGGGUCUUUUUUAGUUCAAGCUUUUGCAGAGUCCACGUUUAGUCCUGGAAAAGUAAAAAUGUUCUAUUUUGGUAACAAGUUCCAAAUUCAUCGUUCCUCAAACUCAGACUGUUUUGUGUUAGUUAAACUAAGCUUUGUUUAAAUGAGUUGGAUCAUUUUAAUCUCUUUGUUACUUUGAUAAUUGCACUGCAUUCCAUUUUUUAAGCAAGCCUGCAUUCAUAAAUAAUUUAUGCAGGUUUAGUUGCUUCCUUUUGUUUGUGCUGAUGACGUGUCAGCAAUACCAAAUCAUCUGAGCAUAACCAAUAUUCGAUCUGUUCUAUUUGGUUUGGACCAACAAACUAAUUUCUUCAGCAAGAAUUUAUAGCUUAGUUUAUUCGUUUACAUUGUUACUGACCUGCUCUAAUUUUCAUCCCGACAUCUCAUUUUUUGACUGAAAAGAUCGUAUUGGCAUAAUUGGAGCACAUCUUGCAGCUGUUGCUAAGGCAUCUGCCAAUAAAUCCCCAAGAAAUUUCAGGUAACGGUCAAUGCACUCACCCUCCAUUGACAACCCAUGUCUUGGAUGUUGCUUGCGGCACUCCUGCAUCACUAAUGGAGGUACACCUGGAGAUGUGGAAGGACACCCAACAGUGUCCAUCAUUCAUUCAGCGACCGACAUUCUAGCAUGUGGGUAUUCCUAGGCUCUUCAGUCACAAAUACUGUUGGUCGUAGCAGUCCUUUGAUGGGUGUUGUUGAUUAUAUUACACCUGGGUUUUAUUAAAUCAGUUUCAAUGCUGGCAAAUAUGUGCCCUCUGGCUUCUUUACCCAUGUUAGCAUAGCAUUUUUGGUCGGGGAGAACCAAAGUUCAAAUAUUAUCGUGUCCCGUUGUUGUAUUCACCCUUCUCCUUGACUGCAUGUAGGGGGAGCUAGAUAAGGAAUCAGUCUUGUAUCGCUCAUUACAAUUCAAAUAAUCAGGCUGGAGAACCGUUGGUGCUUGAUCAUAUUUGUACACGAGCACUUAAGAAUGUAUUGCUCUGGCUGGCUUGUAUAAUGUGACCAUGAUGAACAUACAUCUAUUAUGCCUACCAGUAGUGGUCCAUCAGGGAGUUUUAUUCAGGCAACAGUAUUGAACAGACGUCUUGCUGAAGGAUUUUGUUUUAUGCAUCGACUUAUGCUAGGGAAAGUUGUCUUUUGACGCCCAUUAUGAUCAGAGUAGCCUUCUUGAAUUGUGCUGUAUGACCGACAGGAUUUCAACUCUCUUUCAGAUGGAAAUAUCAGCGGCCGAUCCUUGUGAGCUACCGAUUUUUUUUAAGCAACGAUUUAUAAUUAUAAGAAAUUGAUGCUGCCAAAUGCAUUCUAACUUUUUCUAUAAACAUAAUAAAGAUGGUUCAUCCAUAUGUGAUGCCAUGAGAUGUGAGGGUGGUUGUAGGGUGGAAGCACCAGUGGUCCAAAGAGUCGGUAAUUUUAACUGGACAUCUAGAGAGGCAGAUAAGUUAUGAAGAACAAUUCAAGGAUGUUUGCUGCGGAAGAACACAAUGCCUUCUUGGACAGGAAAUUCCUGUUUUUCCUUCUCUCAUUUUCUUAGCAAUUAAAGAUCCAGACAAAGUCUUGGCUGCUUCUUCCCCCAGAGAACGAGGACGCAGCAGUACAAAGUCGAGUGAAUUUAUUCUGGUGUAACAUUGCCAUCUAGUUAUUGGAAAUUUUGAAACCACCGGUGG
This is a non-coding RNA of Elaeis guineensis (African oil palm), 2943 nucleotides long. Lineage: Eukaryota; Viridiplantae; Streptophyta; Magnoliopsida; Arecales; Arecaceae. The record is from RefSeq and is a predicted model, not a curated record.